This 69-nucleotide transfer RNA is filed under the name Alytes maurus. RNAcentral describes it as "tRNA-Arg". It matches the Rfam family "tRNA". From Rfam's summary of the family: Transfer RNA (tRNA) molecules are approximately 80 nucleotides in length. Their secondary structure includes four short double-helical elements and three loops (D, anti-codon, and T loops). Further hydrogen bonds mediate the characteristic L-shaped molecular structure. tRNAs have two regions of fundamental functional importance: the anti-codon, which is responsible for specific mRNA codon recognition, and the 3' end, to which the tRNAs corresponding amino acid is attached (by aminoacyl-tRNA synthetases). tRNAs cope with the degeneracy of the genetic code in two manners: having more than one tRNA (with a specific anti-codon) for a particular amino acid; and 'wobble' base-pairing, i.e. permitting non-standard base-pairing at the 3rd anti-codon position. Lineage: Eukaryota; Metazoa; Chordata; Amphibia; Anura; Alytidae. The record is from RNAcentral.
GGGCGGUUAGUCUAAACAAGACAACUAAUUUCGACUUAGUAAAUACUGGUUUAAACCCUCUACCACCCU